UGGGGAAUAUUGCACAAUGGGCGCAAGCCUGAUGCAGCCAUGCCGCGUGUAUGAAGAAGGCCUUCGGGUUGUAAAGUACUUUCAGCGGGGAGGAAGGGAGUAAAGUUAAUACCUUUGCUCAUUGACGUUACCCGCAGAAGAAGCACCGGCUAACUCCGUGCCAGCAGCCGCGGUAAUACGGAGGGUGCAAGCGUUAAUCGGAAUUACUGGGCGUAAAGCGCACGCAGGCGGUUUGUUAAGUCAGAUGUGAAAUCCCCGGGCUCAACCUGGGAACUGCAUCUGAUACUGGAAAGAUUGAGUCUCGUAGAGGGGGGUAGGAUGACAGGUGUGGCGGUGAAAUGAGUAGAGAUCUGGAGGAAUACCGGUGGCGAAGGCGGCCCCCUGGACGAAGACUGACGCUCAGGUGCGAAAGCGUGGGGAGCAAACAGG
Molecule: ribosomal RNA, 429 nt
Filed under: Chloroflexota bacterium
Lineage: Bacteria; Bacillati; Chloroflexota
Description: Chloroflexi bacterium partial 16S ribosomal RNA
Rfam family: Bacterial small subunit ribosomal RNA
Source: RNAcentral